Long non-coding RNA from Phasianus colchicus (ring-necked pheasant), 1588 nucleotides. The record is from Ensembl. Lineage: Eukaryota; Metazoa; Chordata; Aves; Galliformes; Phasianidae.
AAAGGUUCAGCUCUGUUUGGAUUUGCUGAAUAUCAGUUUUUAGAAAACUGGCAAAAAGGAGUAGUAAUUGUUCUUAGCAGAGUUUCAUUAUUUCAGGGAGGUGCGUGGAUGUCUGAUUCACUCCUGUAAAAAUGUAAGGCAAAACAACAAGCUUAUGAAUAUAAAGGACUGUCUGAUAGGAAGUAGACAGAUAAAGUCAACUGAAUGUAGCAGAUCGUGACAGAGCUAAACCUUUUAUGAUAAAAAAUUAACUGAGCGUUAUAGGCAGAUCAAUACAGCACAUCCACUUUGAACAAGUUCACACUCAUACCAGAAGCAAAGUAUUGCAAUUGUUACAAUAGUCUGCAAAUCGCUUUUUAAUAGCUGGGUAAAUAUUUGAGCAAUUCACUUGCUUCAAGCUUCCUGAGGCUUCACUCUUACUUGCAGAAUGACAGCAUUGCCAGAAACCCAGAAUCUGCCCUUGAAUCAACCUUUGAAGGAACAGACAGCAGCAACAAUACCAGUGACAUACAGUGUUUGAGUAAUAAUUGUGGGGUUAUUCAGGCUCUAUGCAGAAACGCAGGCUAAGAAAUAGCAUGAAGUUCCAGGGAAGACAUUUUCUACAGCACUUUGAGGAAAUAAAAUUUAAGAAAAUUAUAUUUAAGAUUUCCAACAUUCCUAGAAUUCUGUUACCAGUGAGAGUCAUAAGAAUAUUGAUGUAAGUGAGUGGGUUUAAAGAUCAAAAAGAAUAGAUCCACGUCAGACUUUUCCUUUAUUCUGAGGUUUGGCUCCCUUCCAUCUUUUCAUGAAAUAAAUUGGCUGCAGCAAAGCAGCUAGUAGCAUUCUGCCGAGUGGAAGUAUCCUAGCAGAAGGACAGAAGCAGGCACAAUAAGGACUAGGAAUGAAAGACAACUCAGGUUAUCAGAGUUUCUCAACGAAUUGCAAAAUGGUGCUCCGCUCAGGCCGUGAAAAGCCAUACAGAGUGCCUACUUGUGGAAGGCAAAGAGUGAAAAGGAAAGUUUCGGUGAGCACCAGAUCAGCAGCUGCUGAAAACUCAGAGCUUCAACUGCGGAAAACACUGAGGUGCUUUAUACAGACUGAAGAUUCAAAAACUGUGCAUUUCAACUUAGAUGAAUGUGGUCGUCAUGAAAUAUCAACCAUGGAUUCACAACGCCCUGCAGAUACAGCAUGGUUAAGCCUGUUCACAAGCAAGGAGCCAGCAGUUAUAGGAAAAACAGACUCUAAAAAUGUGGUGGUCCUCAUGCAGCGAUUAAAGUGUAAUGAAUUUGUGCUGUUGAGCAAAGGUGAAGAUCAGCUCUGCCUGAAGGUUUUAAAGGGAUGCUGUUCCGAGCCAGAUCAUACUUCAGUGGCAAAAGGCAACAGGAGAACGUGCAAGAAGAGAGGUCUUGACUUCAAAAAGCUGAAGGAAGAUAAUCACUUUUUCAUCAUGCAUUCUGAAGGAGAUUCAGUGAAGUUCCAGUGCUAUGAAGACACAAAUUACUUUCUGCAUGUGAAUGAUCAUUCACUUGACAUACGCAAGCUGGAUCAUGAUGACCCUGAUGGGGAGAGAAACUUUGUCUUCAAGAAAUCUAAUAAACAGAAGAGUUAA